Molecule: long non-coding RNA, 638 nt
Filed under: Phasianus colchicus (ring-necked pheasant)
Lineage: Eukaryota; Metazoa; Chordata; Aves; Galliformes; Phasianidae
Description: lncRNA (ENSPCLG00000004943.1)
Source: RNAcentral
ACUCUCCGGAGUGUGACUCAUAAGCCCUUGCAGCUCAAACAGCAUUGCAGAAUGAGCUACCAGCAACCUCUUUGUCCUUCAUGUGAUGUUACUGAAUCAGCUCAAGAUAAUUCAUACCUUGGAGCAACCUCGCAUUGCAAGUAAGGAAGGAGCGUUAUUUCUCAACAUAGAACAAACAGAAGACAGAAUUAACUCUAUCUUAAAGCUGCAUUACCACCCUGCUAUUCGCUUCCUGACUUCAGCUCAAGUGCCUACAGGCCCUGUCCUGCUAAGCUCUGUACAAGGCCUGACAUUUGACACCCAAGACCCCAGGACUUACACAGAGGCACAAGCGGAGGCCCUGGGGAAGAGCUCCAUGGUCACAGGACACCAGCUUUGGCCGUACUACAUUGUCAUUCAUUCCUCCCUGCCACACGCGUGCCUGACCAUAUAGGAAAAUGAGUUUACAACCGACUACGCCUAUGGGACUCCCGGAGGGAUACAAUGUGAGAGCCUUUACUAGUGGUGGAUGGUCCUCAAAAGGUUUGAAAGUUUGGUAAGUACGUCCUUAACCAAACUCUUUUGACCUUUAUUCAGAUUUGUUUUUGGAGAAGGGCAAAGGGUUGGGCCAAUUCUUGUUUCACCCAACUGGCUUGUCC